UCUCGAUAGGUGAAGAUCUCUGGAAUGAGUUUUCGCUUAAAAGACGUUGGGGUUAUGCUCUCCAGUGUCGCCCAAGGAUGGGGCCGCGACCGAUCAGGUUGUUGGUGAGGUAAUGGCUCACCAAGCCUUUUACCGGUGCGGGCCGUGGGAGCGGGAGCCCGGAGAUGGGCACUGAGACAAGGGCCCAGGCCCUACGGGGCGCAGCAGUCGCGAAAACUUUGCAAUAAGCGAAAGCUUGACAGGGCUAUCCCGAGUGCCAUCCGCUGAGGAAGGCUUUUACCCAGUCUAGAACGCUGGGGGAAUAAGGAGAGGGCAAGUCUGGUGUCAGCCGCCGCGGUAAUACCAGCUCUCCGAGUGGUGUGGAUGUUUAUUGGGCCUAAAGCAUCCGUAGCUGGCUAGGCUAGUCCCCUGUUAAAUCCACCGAAUUAAUCGUUGGAUUGCGGGGGAUACUGCUUGGCUAGGGGACGAGAGAGGCAGACGGUAUUUCCGGGGUAGGGGUGAAACCCUAUAAUCCCAGGAGGACCACCAGUGGCGAAGGCUGUCUGCUAGAACGCGCCCGACGGUGAGGGAUGAAAGCUGGGGGAGCGAACCGGAUUAGAUACCCGGGUAGUCCCAGCUGUAAACGAUGCAGACUAGGUGUUUGGACGGCCACGUGCCGUUCUAGUGCCGCAGGGAAGCUGUUAAGUCUGCCGCCUGG
Molecule: ribosomal RNA, 697 nt
Filed under: uncultured archaeon
Lineage: Archaea
Description: bacterial SSU rRNA
Rfam family: Archaeal small subunit ribosomal RNA
Source: RNAcentral